This 499-nucleotide ribosomal RNA is filed under the name uncultured bacterium. RNAcentral's name for it is "bacterial SSU rRNA". It matches the Rfam family "Bacterial small subunit ribosomal RNA", at positions 29 to 521 of the family's 1533-position model. The record is from RNAcentral.
AACGAACGCUGGCGGCGCGCUUAAUACAUGCAAGUCGAACGAGAAGGUGUAGCAAUACACUUGUAAAGUGGCGAACGGGUGAGGAAUACAUGGGUAACCUACCCUCGAGUGGGGAACAACCAGCCGAAAGGUUGGCUAAUACCGCGUACGCUUCCGGGUCUUCGGAUUCGGAAGGAAAGUCAUACCGUGGGUAUGACGCUCAAGGAUGGGCUCAUGUCCUAUCAGCUUGUUGGUAGGGAACGGCCUACCAAGGCUUCGACGGGUAGCUGGUCUGAGAGGACGAUCAGCCACACUGGCACUGCGACACGGGCCAGACUCCUACGGGAGGCAGCAGUAAGGAAUAUUGCGCAAUGGGCGAAAGCCUGACGCAGCGACGCCGCGUGGGGGAUGAAGGUCUUCGGAUUGUAAACCCCUUUCGGGAGGGAAAAGUGGAACGAGCAAUCGUUCGGAUGGUACCUCCAGAAGCAGCCACGGCUAACUUCGUGCCAGCAGCCGCUGU